Molecule: transfer RNA, 65 nt
Filed under: Paramuricea clavata
Lineage: Eukaryota; Metazoa; Cnidaria; Anthozoa; Malacalcyonacea; Plexauridae
Rfam family: tRNA
About the family: Transfer RNA (tRNA) molecules are approximately 80 nucleotides in length. Their secondary structure includes four short double-helical elements and three loops (D, anti-codon, and T loops).
Source: Rfam by way of RNAcentral
UCCUCUGCAGCUCAUUUGGUUAGAGUGCUGCACCAGAGUCGCAGGUUCGAUUCCUGCCAGAGGAG